This 141-nucleotide small nucleolar RNA is filed under the name Sciurus vulgaris (Eurasian red squirrel). RNAcentral's name for it is "Small nucleolar RNA SNORA29 (ENSSVLG00005015470.1)". It matches the Rfam family "Small nucleolar RNA SNORA29". Rfam says of the family: ACA29 is a member of the H/ACA class of snoRNA that guide the sites of modification of uridines to pseudouridines. Lineage: Eukaryota; Metazoa; Chordata; Mammalia; Rodentia; Sciuridae. The record is from Rfam by way of RNAcentral.
UUUCCCAUAUGACUACCACAUUUUCUUAUAAUAAUAGACUUUAGUGGCUAUGCUUAUGGGAUAGAUUAAAAUUGCCAUGAUCUGAAGAGGGAGGAUUUUCAAAGUGUUCUCCUUCUAUAUGAAAUGGCUGAACAAAAAAUC